Molecule: long non-coding RNA, 1827 nt
Organism: Quercus robur (English oak)
Lineage: Eukaryota; Viridiplantae; Streptophyta; Magnoliopsida; Fagales; Fagaceae
Exons: 3
Source: RefSeq, a predicted model, not a curated record
UUUCUUCAUUUUCAAUAAUUAUGAGUUCGUCAAAUCUAUUUUUAGAUGCUUACCAUUUAUCAAUCUUUUAUGGGGAGCGUCACUUAGGAUUAGGAUUCUAAGAUUUGAAGGCAGUGGUACAGCUCAAGGAUGGGAUUCCUAGCUUUCUUACAAAUAUUGCUGGAACAAUUUUGAGCACUAGAGAAAAUUCUGGAUGACAUGAGAGAAUGGGGCAACAAUGUUCAGGUUUCCUUAUCAUUAUGCACUCAAUACAUAACGCUAUAAUUCUGUCUUUGAUUGGAUUCUUACUUGUAGGUCCCUGUAUCAGGAUAUUCAAAAUUAAUAAGCUUUGGCUUGAGUCAUCAUUACCUUGAGUAUAUAAAAGGUGCUAAUGAUUUUGCAUAGUGAGCUCUUAAUCAUUUCUGACCUGCUAAAGGUAGGAUGAUUAAUAUAUAUUUUGCAUUUAUAACUCUUAAUCAGCAUGUUAAGCCCCUGAAAACUUGUGAAGAUUGGGCUCCCUCUUUGAUACAAAUUCAUUGAAGAUCAUAUAUCAAAGUUAAAAAGCUGUAGAGUAAGUGGAAUAGCUUAAAUCAAUGUGCCUACUGUAUGUAGCAGCAACUCUUAUCAUCUACAUUUCCAAGCUAGAUGAAUUGCUGAAUGGUUAGUUGGGAAUUCAAAAAGUCCAUCAAGGGGACUUAAUUAGCAACCACAAAUUCUACAAUCCCAACUCUAUUAAGUAAUGUGACACAUACACAUAUCUGUCUCCAUCAGUAUGUGGUGUCUCUUUCUCAUUCACAAUUUUUGAAGCAAAUUCAAGAGGAAAUUCAAUGUUGAACUUGAGAGCUUGGGGACGAGGAUGGAAAUAGUGAUGUAUUGGGGAACUGAGGUCUUUCCUAAUAGGGACUUCAAUGUGCAAGGAUGAAACAACAUCAUUUUUGGGGAUUGGUAUUAUUCCUUGGGUUACUGUUUGAGAAGGUGUUGAAAUUCUCCAGAGAGAAGCCCAUCCCCAUGUAAGUCACCAGAGCAACCGGUGGAGGCUUUUAGGGUGGAACGCUGCCAAACCUGUAAAGCUGUGACAAUCAUAUCAGUAGAGCACAGUGUACUCUGCUUCAGACUUUCCACCAACACCAUGCUGAACACCCCAAUGGAUCUCAUAACCUUCCGCCUCACUCUGAACACACAACCUCGCAAACUCUUGGCCCCUCUAUCAACAGAAUGGAUGACCGGUCAUGCCCAUUUGACCAAUCCUUUUAACUUCCUCUCAAUGAAGAUACUAGUUUGGAAUUGUACCGGUGCUGGCAACCCAAACUUUUGUAGAAAUUUCACUGAUAUGGUCUGCCCCCACCGUCCCUCCAUUGCCAUUAUUUUGGAGACCCGCAUUUCUGGCCAAAGGGCAGACUCUGUUAGCUCUUCUCUUGGCUUUGACAAUGUCUGUUGGACCCGGGCUUCAAUGGACCUCAUUUUACUUGGUCAAAUAAAAGAGACUCCAACCUUGUCAUGCCCUUGAUAGAGUCCUCUGAAACCCUCUUUGGAAAACCCUUUUUGAAGAGGCCAAUGUCCUUCAUCUCCCAAAAAUUUCCUUUGACCAUCCCCCAUCCUCAUUAACAACUCCCUUUCCUCUCACUCCUUCAAUCAAAUAUCCAACUGCAAAGGUAAUCAUUGCGUGGAUCUUUUGGCAAAGGAAGGGAAUUUAUCAAAUUAUUUUGUUUUAUUUCACUCCAAUCCCCCUUCUUCUAUUUUGUACCAGUUUUUAGUUGAUGCUUGGAGCAUUGUUUACCCCAAAUUUUGUAAUUCUUAGUUUUUUUUAAUAAAAGUUCUAGUUAACCAAAACAAUAAAAAUUUGAUACU